UCCCUGGUUGUCUGGUGGUUAAGACUCUGUGCUUCCAAUGCAGGAGGUAUGGGUUCAAUCCCUGGUUGGGGAA
RNAcentral lists this transfer RNA (73 nucleotides) under Ovis aries (sheep). It matches the Rfam family "tRNA". From Rfam's summary of the family: Transfer RNA (tRNA) molecules are approximately 80 nucleotides in length. Their secondary structure includes four short double-helical elements and three loops (D, anti-codon, and T loops). Further hydrogen bonds mediate the characteristic L-shaped molecular structure. tRNAs have two regions of fundamental functional importance: the anti-codon, which is responsible for specific mRNA codon recognition, and the 3' end, to which the tRNAs corresponding amino acid is attached (by aminoacyl-tRNA synthetases). tRNAs cope with the degeneracy of the genetic code in two manners: having more than one tRNA (with a specific anti-codon) for a particular amino acid; and 'wobble' base-pairing, i.e. permitting non-standard base-pairing at the 3rd anti-codon position. Lineage: Eukaryota; Metazoa; Chordata; Mammalia; Artiodactyla; Bovidae. The record is from Rfam by way of RNAcentral.